RNAcentral lists this long non-coding RNA (1298 nucleotides) under Mustela putorius furo (domestic ferret). RNAcentral's name for it is "lncRNA (ENSMPUG00000030017.1)". The record is from RNAcentral. Lineage: Eukaryota; Metazoa; Chordata; Mammalia; Carnivora; Mustelidae.
CUAUGUGUUUGAUAUUAAUGUUAACUAAAACCUGGCAGUAAAAUACUGGUAGUACCUUUAUGCUGUCAGCUGGCAGAAAAAGAGAGUCUCUGAUGGAGGAGGUAAUUUCAGCCCAAGGCCAUCAUGAGCUCCCUUAAUAAUGAGGAGCCUGUUCAGCAGGGAAGAGAGGGACCGGUGGAGCCCACAGGCACAAAGACCAGAGCCCUUGGGUCUGAGUCCCUGCAGCUCCUCAUGGACCAAAGGAGCCAGGAAGGCCCUGAAUGCACCACUGUGGCUGUGAGACCGGGCACCACUGUGGCUGUGAGACCGGACACCUGUUCAGGGGGUGAGAUGGAAGGGGCUUAGAAACAGCACGGUGUUUAAUGUAACUAUUCUGACUCUUUGUCCUCUAGAAUGUGGAACCCUAGAUCAAACUUGAUUUCCUGCUCUCCAUUAUGAUUCUGGAGGAAAGAGGGAGCAUUUAUUGUCUUUAGGUCCCCUUCAGGGGAGGGAAGAGACACAAAUGCCCCCUUCCUGUCCUCAGAAGAAGCUGCCAUUCCAUCUAAAGACAAGACAACCCCCAUAUCAGUGUCUGUGCCAACAAAACCUUGGUGCCGGCUGGGGGAAUGCCACAUACAGAAAACAAGGUGCAUCUAGAGAGAAGACAACGUGAAGACACAGGGAGACCACCAGCCACAGAGCAAGGAACCUCGAAGACUGUGAGCAAACCACUAGAAUCUAGAAGAGAACAUAGAACAGAAGUUUCCUCACAAUUCUCAGAAGGAACCAACACUGCCCUCACCUUGAUCUCAGACUUCGACCCCCAGAGCACUGAGACAUUACAUUCUGUUCUGAACCAGGCCAUAGGCUCCACCAGAAGCUGUGCUGAGGACCGCAGUGGACAUGGGCACGAACACUUCUCCAUCUCUCUUUUUCAUACCACACUUCAGCAGACGUGAGGAAGAGCUCCAUGCAUCAUCCCCUAUGGCUGACUGGAGCCUGUGCUUUGCUGACUAGGGUCUUGAGAAGAAAAAAAAUCUCUCUCUGUUUUCCCAAAUGAUGAAGUUUUAUUGUUUAUGAGCCCUUUUAUGUUGUAAACCUAGGAAAGGUGAGGGACCCAUGAAACUGUAUUUUAAAAAAAUCCUUUAAAUCUGCACCUUGUAUAUCUAUCCUUUGUCUGAGCUUCUCUUUCUCCUCUUACCAAAACAAACCAUUGUGAGAUAUGUGUAUUUUUAACCUGAGAUGCAGGUCUUAUAUAAUACAACAAACUUUGAAGAUCCGAUUCACAUAAAUUGGAUUGCAAACCAAAUAAAAUUUGC